ACACUGGUGGUUCCUCAAGUUGGCCCCUUUGACUUUAAUUGUCAUUUUAUUUUAGUGGCCAUAUGAACCAUAUCCUCUAAGUUAAUACAGUGUUUUAAUUCGAGAAUGUUGGCAAUUUAUUUUUUUAGCCCACUUAAAAAUCAAGCCAUGGUGGCUUCGGGAUACUCUUGGACCCUUGCCUGAAUCAGAGUCACCUCCAUUUCCUUAUGGUACUCUCCUGCCAACUUUGAUCCUUGAAUAAGAUGUUGGAGCUUCUAGUUCAUAUCCUAUCAAAGUAGGAUUGUAUAAACCUCUUCCUCAUGAUGGAUCUUAACUCUUGCCAUGUGAAAAUGACACAUCUUUGUCUUUGAUUUUAAGGGGAACUAAUUGGUCCCACCAAACCAAUGCAUAGUCACUAAACUCAAGUGUUGUCAGUUUAAUCUUAGUUUCUUCAUUGUAGUCAUGGUAAUCGAAGAUGCAGUCAAUCUUUUGCU
Molecule: long non-coding RNA, 473 nt
Filed under: Carica papaya (papaya)
Lineage: Eukaryota; Viridiplantae; Streptophyta; Magnoliopsida; Brassicales; Caricaceae
Description: long non-coding RNA (CPAP_LNC001398)
Source: RNAcentral